Molecule: long non-coding RNA, 792 nt
Organism: Otolemur garnettii (small-eared galago)
Lineage: Eukaryota; Metazoa; Chordata; Mammalia; Primates; Galagidae
Exons: 2
Source: RefSeq, a predicted model, not a curated record
CUAUGCAGCCUGGGUAAGAGCUCCACAGGGCGUGGAUCCUGCAGCCACCACCUGCUGCCUGGGCUCGGAGGGGUGAGGAGCGACCCUGGGGGGCAAGCAUCUGAAUCAGGAAAGCCACCUCCCAAUUGGCACUAAUUGCCUGGAUUCCGGCAGCCGCAGGAAAGAGCCAAGAGCAUGUGGCCACAGAGAUGAGCUGGUUGUGUGACAAGGGCUCAUGGACAGAGUCCGCAGCUGGGAGGCAGGAAUGAGCUGCCCGGUGGUGGAUGAUGUGCAAAAGUGACAGUCGUCUGCAUGUCUGCCCCCCCCCACCAUGGGCAUUUAAACCCUUCGGGUCCCACUGGCCGUAUACCCAGAACCCUGAGUUCUGGUUUUCUGCACCCUCAGGCAUUGAGGGAGAGCCAGUGUCUUUGUGGGUGGUGGAAACGGCCUCUACUCCCUCCUCAAGCUCCUGGUCACCAGGGAGCUGGGCUGGGUGUGACUCCCAAAUGUAUGGACUGCAGUGAACCAAUGUCACUCAAUCUCUCAGUGUGGCCUGGGAGCUCCAUGGGGAAGCCCUGGCUGUGCCCCACCCCCUUAGAAAGUUGCCAGGGUGCCCUGGGGGAGAAGAGUGGCUUAAACGCUGGAGGUCACCAGUUUUGCCCUCUCUAUUCUCCACUUCCCAGUGUGGUCACAUCUCUGGGGACAACUGAUAUACACAGUCCUCACCAGGAAAUGAUCCUUCGGCGGAUGGGGUGGGAACUCUUUAUGAAUUCUAGAGAAAUAAACUCCAUUUGUUCUUCUCUUUGCAAUUAA